Molecule: transfer RNA, 77 nt
Filed under: Planctomycetota bacterium
Lineage: Bacteria; Pseudomonadati; Planctomycetota
Description: tRNA-His
Rfam family: tRNA
About the family: Transfer RNA (tRNA) molecules are approximately 80 nucleotides in length. Their secondary structure includes four short double-helical elements and three loops (D, anti-codon, and T loops).
Source: RNAcentral
GACCCAGUAGCUCAGUUGGUUAGAGCGCGAGAUUGUGGCUCUCGAGGUCGCGGGUUCGACCCCCGUCUGGGUCCCCA